UGCAAGUCAACUUGACUGAAGGAGCAUCUGACAGUAGAGUGGCGCAAGGGUGCGUAACGCGUAAGUAACUUGCCCAAGGUAAGGAAUAACGUCGAGAAAUCGGCGCUAAUACCUCAUAAUGCAGCGGAUCCGCAUGGAUAUGUUGUUAAAGGUUUACCGCCUUGGGAUAGGCUUGCGUCUGAUUAGCUAGUUGGUGUGGUAACGGCACACCAGGGCUACGAUCAGUAACUGGUCUGAGAGGAUGAUCAGUCACACUGGAACUGAGACACGGUCCAGACUCCUACGGGAGGCAGCAGUGAGGAAUAUUGGGCAAUGCUCGAAAGAGUGACCCAGCAACGCCGCGUGGAGGAUGAAGGUAUUCUAUAUCGUAAACUCCUGUGAGAGCAGACGAAAGACAGAUUAUUAAUCUGGAUGACUGUAUGCUCAGAGGAAGCCCCGGCUAACUACGUG
This 450-nucleotide ribosomal RNA is filed under the name uncultured bacterium. RNAcentral describes it as "bacterial SSU rRNA". It matches the Rfam family "Bacterial small subunit ribosomal RNA", at positions 56 to 507 of the family's 1533-position model. The record is from RNAcentral.